RNAcentral lists this ribosomal RNA (467 nucleotides) under uncultured bacterium. RNAcentral's name for it is "partial 16S ribosomal RNA". It matches the Rfam family "Bacterial small subunit ribosomal RNA", at positions 28 to 506 of the family's 1533-position model. The record is from RNAcentral.
GACGAACGCUGGCGGCGUGCUUAACACAUGCAAGUCGAACGGAAAGGCCCUGCUUUUGUGGGGUGCUCGAGUGGCGAACGGGUGAGUAACACGUGAGUAACCUGCCCUUGACUUUGGGAUAACUUCAGGAAACUGGGGCUAAUACCGGAUAGGAGCUCCUGCUGCAUGGUGGGGGUUGGAAAGUUUCGGCGGUUGGGGAUGGACUCGCGGCUUAUCAGCUUGUUGGUGGGGUAGUGGCUUACCAAGGCUUUGACGGGUAGCCGGCCUGAGAGGGUGACCGGCCACAUUGGGACUGAGAUACGGCCCAGACUCCUACGGGAGGCAGCAGUGGGGAAUAUUGCACAAUGGGCGGAAGCCUGAUGCAGCAACGCCGCGUGCGGGAUGACGGCCUUCGGGUUGUAAACCGCUUUCGCCUGUGACGAAGCGUGAGUGACGGUAAUGGGUAAAGAAGCACCGGCUAUCUACGU